CCAAGUGUAAUUGCCUUAGUACGGCGAGUGAAGCGGCAAAAGCUCAAAUUUGAAAUCUGGCACCUUCGGUGUCCGAGUUGUAAUUUGAAGAAGGUAACUUUGGAGUUGGCUCUUGUCUAUGUUCCUUGGAACAGGACGUCACAGAGGGUGAGAAUCCCGUGCGAUGAGAUGCCCAAUUCUAUGUAAAGUGCUUUCGAAGAGUCGAGUUGUUUGGGAAUGCAGCUCUAAGUGGGUGGUAAAUUCCAUCUAAAGCUAAAUAUUGGCGAGAGACCGAUAGCGAACAAGUACAGUGAUGGAAAGAUGAAAAGAACUUUGAAAAGAGAGUGAAAAAGUACGUGAAAUUGUUGAAAGGGAAGGGCUUGAGAUCAGACUUGGUAUUUUGCGAUCCUUUCCUUCUUGGUUGGGUUCCUCGCAGCUUACUGGGCCAGCAUCGGUUUGGAUGGUAGGAUAAUGACUAAGGAAUGUGGCUCUACUUCGGUGGAGUGUUAUAGCCUUGGUUGAUACUGCCUGUCUAGACCGAGGACUGCGUCUUUUGACUAGGAUGUUGGCAUAAUGAUCUUUAACCCACCCGUCUUGAACCACGGGACCAAAAAAAAGGGGGGCGGGAGGCGGGGCCGUAAUUCGAUCUGAAACGGAUAGGGGGUCGUACGAUUUGAUUUACAAAU
RNAcentral lists this ribosomal RNA (665 nucleotides) under Candida albicans. RNAcentral's name for it is "LSU rRNA". The stretch from base 1 to 584 matches the Rfam family "Eukaryotic large subunit ribosomal RNA", at positions 65 to 664 of the family's 3401-position model. The record is from RNAcentral. Lineage: Eukaryota; Fungi; Ascomycota; Pichiomycetes; Serinales; Debaryomycetaceae.